This 774-nucleotide ribosomal RNA is filed under the name uncultured Neocallimastigales. RNAcentral's name for it is "partial large subunit ribosomal RNA". It matches the Rfam family "Eukaryotic large subunit ribosomal RNA", at positions 22 to 621 of the family's 3401-position model. Lineage: Eukaryota; Fungi; Neocallimastigomycota; Neocallimastigomycetes; Neocallimastigales. The record is from RNAcentral.
UAUCAGUCAUGCAUAGCAUAUCAAUAAGCGGAGGAAAAGAAAACUAACAAGGAUUCCCUUAGUAACGGCGAGUGAAGCGGGAAGAGCUCAAAUUUGAAAUCUUCAAGGUUUUACCUUGACGAAUCGUAGUUUAAAGAAGUGUUUUCUGUUGAAGUUUUGGUAAAAGUUCUUUGGAAUAGGACAUCAUAGAGGGUGAGAAUCCCGUAUUUGACCAUUACUUUCAGCUUUGUGAUACACUUUCAAAGAGUCGGAUUGUUUGGGAAUGCAGUCCAAAAUGGGUGGUAAAUUUCAUCUAAAGCUAAAUAUUGGCGAGAGACCGAUAGCGAGCAAGUACCGUGAGGGAAAGAUGAAAAGAACUUUGAAAUGAGAGUUAAACAGUACGUGAAAUUGUCAAAAGGGAAGCGUUUGACACCAGUGUUGUUUUCUCGAAAAUCAAUUAAAAAGAGUUGGAUUUUGUGUUGUAUUGACUUUAUCGGCUUUCUUCACUCUUUUCCAGCUUUUUUUAAUGCACUUUUCGUUUAACAAGUCAACAUCAGUUUCUUUUGUUGUAAAAAGGUCAUUGGAAGGUGGCUUUCUCUUCGGAGAAAGUGUUUAUAGCCUUUGACUCAUGCAAUCGGAGAGACUGAGGUCUGCAGCGUAGAUCCUUCGGGGUUAGAUACAUUUGUGCUAAGUUAUAGCUUUUCAUAGACAACUUGUUGACUAUGUUUAGUCUUCUAGCUUACUCGCUUAUGCUAUUUUACCUACGCUUAGGAUGUUGAACUCUAUCACACACAG